Molecule: non-coding RNA, 67 nt
Organism: Potamilus streckersoni
Lineage: Eukaryota; Metazoa; Mollusca; Bivalvia; Unionida; Unionidae
Source: the annotation of a GenBank genome assembly
GAUGGCCUAGUGGGUAGAGCGUCCGCCUCAGAUGCGGGAGAUUGCAGGUUCAAUCCCCGGUCAAACU